RNAcentral lists this ribosomal RNA (250 nucleotides) under uncultured bacterium. RNAcentral's name for it is "partial 16S ribosomal RNA". It matches the Rfam family "Bacterial small subunit ribosomal RNA", at positions 524 to 773 of the family's 1533-position model. The record is from RNAcentral.
UACGUACUGUGCGAACGUUAUUCGGAAUCACUGGGCUUAAAGGGUGCGUAGGCGGCUAUCUAAGUAGGGUGUGAAAGCUCUCGGCUCAACCGAGGAAUUGCGCUCUAAACUGGAUGGCUUGAGUGAGAUAGGGGUGUGCGGAACUUCCAGUGGAGCGGUGAAAUGUGUUGAUAUUGGAAGGAACACCGGUGGCGAAAGCGGCACACUGGGUCUUAACUGACGCUGAGGCACGAAAGCCAGGGGAGCGAAC